RNAcentral lists this ribosomal RNA (997 nucleotides) under uncultured bacterium. RNAcentral's name for it is "bacterial SSU rRNA". It matches the Rfam family "Bacterial small subunit ribosomal RNA", at positions 505 to 1501 of the family's 1533-position model. The record is from RNAcentral.
GUCCCAGCCGCCGCGGUAAUACGGAGGGUGCGAGCGUUAAUCGGAAUUACUGGGCGUAAAGCGCAUGCAGGUGGUUUGUUAAGUCAGAUGUGAAAGCCCGGGGCUCAACCUCGGAAUUGCAUUUGAAACUGGCAGACUAGAGUACUGUAGAGGGGGGUAGAAUUUCAGGUGUAGCGGUGAAAUGCGUAGAGAUCUGAAGGAAUACCGGUGGCGAAGGCGGCUCCCUGGACAGAUACUGACACUCAGAUGCGAAAGCGUGGGGAGCAAACAGGAUUAGAUACCCUGGUAGUCCACGCCGUAAACGAUGUCUACUUGGAGGUUGUGGCCUUGAGCCGUGGCUUUCGGAGCUAACGCGUUAAGUAGACCGCCUGGGGAGUACGGUCGCAAGAUUAAAACUCAAAUGAAUUGACGGGGGCCCGCACAAGCGGUGGAGCAUGUGGUUUAAUUCGAUGCAACGCGAAGAACCUUACCUACUCUUGACAUCCAGAGAACUUUCCAGAGAUGGAUUGGUGCCUUCGGGAGCUCUGAGACAGGUGCUGCAUGGCUGUCGUCAGCUCGUGUUGUGAAAUGUUGGGUUAAGUCCCGCAACGAGCGCAACCCUUAUCCUUGUUUGCCAGCGAGUAAUGUCGGGAACUCCAGGGAGACUGCCGGUGAUAAACCGGAGGAAGGUGGGGACGACGUCAAGUCAUCAUGGCCCUUACGAGUAGGGCUACACACGUGCUACAACGGCGCAUACAGAGGGCAGCCAACUUGCGAAAGUGAGCGAAUCCCAAAAAGUGCGUCGUAGUCCGGAUUGGAGUCUGCAACUCGACUCCAUGAAGUCGGAAUCGCUAGUAAUCGUGGAUCAGAAUGCCACGGUGAAUACGUUCCCGGGCCUUGUACACACCGCCCGUCACACCAUGGGAGUGGGCUGCAAAAGAAGUAGGUAGUUUAACCUUCGGGGGGACGCUUACCACUUUGUGGUUCAUGACUGGGGUGAAGUCGUAACAAGGUAACC